RNAcentral lists this long non-coding RNA (1004 nucleotides) under Fukomys damarensis (Damara mole-rat). RNAcentral describes it as "lncRNA (ENSFDAG00000025985.1)". The record is from RNAcentral. Lineage: Eukaryota; Metazoa; Chordata; Mammalia; Rodentia; Bathyergidae.
UGCAUGAGCCAUAUUUGGAAACACACUGUCAUGCUUCCUGUAUUUAUUUUUGCUUUGCAGAAUAUGGAGAACAUGAGAAAAUGCUUUCAGCAGCAGUUAGCUGAUGCCAUCGCUGUCAUCAAAGGGAUGUACCAGAUCAGUAAACGCAAAGAAGACAUGGAAAUAUACGCCAGGGUUCGUAUAUGCCCCCCUCAUCUGGGAUGAAGCGUAUGUGCUGCGCGGAGGCCUCUCAUUCUCUGCUGUCUGAGUUUGAGAGAGGACGUGCCCGGAAGUGAAGCAGGCCAGCAGACACCAGUGGCCGUGCCUGUGGGCUGCUCCCAGGGCGGGUGCCCUGCCUCUGCGGAUUGCCACCCUUCCGUCCUACGUCCUACUCCCCAUCCUGCUUCCCGCUUGGACAUAGACCUCAGUCCCCCACCUCCACGCUUUUCUGGGUGCUUCCAGAGAACACUGACUUGUUGGUGUGCCUUUCCUACAGUACCAGGCCCUGGGGCGGGGUGAGCCCAGACUGCCAGUCCAUGAUCAGAUCAUGCUUUGGGGGGCUAAAGCUGCAAAUCGGGGAUUCCAGGUCAGGGGAGGGCAAGAAGGGGCACACAGCUGAGGAAUGAAAUGAGAAUAACAAUGCUGACUCUUUUUUUCCGUGCGCCAGAACCUGAAAUCACCCAAGAAGAGAGAACCCUCUUUGUCCCCGUGGCAGUCACAGCGCAGGAGCUCCACAUCUCCAAGGACAACUUCCGGUUCCAUGAGUACUCAGUCUGUCCGAGCAAAGAAGUCUAAACUUGCCCUGAAGAAAAUUCCAAAGCCAGAGCAGGCAGUGGACAGUUCUGAUCUCUCUCACGUUGGCUCCAAGACCAGACUUGAGACCCACACCACUGACAGAGAGAAGCCCGCCAAGGGUGACAACAACACAAAAGACCUUUUGGAUGGAGGAACCAACUUGAGGAAGGAGAAGGUAGGGGUGGUGAUAAAUGGGAACUUUUCUAUUGUAGAGAACUGUAGAGGUUGUC